AUCACAAAUGAAGGCUCGGAAAG
Molecule: non-coding RNA, 23 nt
Filed under: Cricetulus griseus (Chinese hamster)
Lineage: Eukaryota; Metazoa; Chordata; Mammalia; Rodentia; Cricetidae
Source: RNAcentral